AGGAAAUCAAAUAUCGCAGAGCACAUUGCACCUGCUGAGCUCAGCGUCAGGGACAAGAGUUCAGAGGCACAACGGGAUGCUGCAGGGGGGAGGGUGUUUCCCAUCACUCAGUGAUGCCGCUCAAGGUGCGAGGGAGGGAGCGUCCCUUGGCGUCUUCACAAAACUUCGGAACAGGUCGUGGUGUUCUGACAUGCUCACUGUGCCGCAGCUCUUCUUGAAGUCAGAGACAGAGCAGUGGGAACUGAGACUUCUUCCCAUCCUGUGCCGUUUGUCCCCAGACCACUGUCCCUCUGGGUCAUGUCCUCCUGCUUCAUAUGAAGCAACAGAAUGCACCGGGAGGUUCGGUCACGGGUCCCAAGUCACACAGCAAGUAAUUAGCAGAGAAGAAAUUCGAACCCGUGAUGCUGACUCAGAAUCUGACUCGAGAACAUGCAGGUCCUUAAAAGUAAACCUGAAACUAUGUAAAAUUACAUACUACAUGGAAAUAAUUGUAUAAGGCUUGGGUGGUGGAAUUUUAAUUAUGGUGUUUUCCUUUCCUUUCCUUUUAUUUUCU
This 553-nucleotide long non-coding RNA is filed under the name Mustela putorius furo (domestic ferret). RNAcentral's name for it is "lncRNA (ENSMPUG00000023849.1)". The record is from RNAcentral. Lineage: Eukaryota; Metazoa; Chordata; Mammalia; Carnivora; Mustelidae.